GACGAACGCUGGCGGCGUGCUUAACACAUGCAAGUCGAGCGGUAAGGCCCUUUCGGGGGUACACGAGCGGCGAACGGGUGAGUAACACGUGGGUGACCUGCCCUCAGCUCUGGGAUAAGCCUGGGAAACUGGGUCUAAUACCGGAUAUGACUCCACGGCGCAUGUUGUGGGGUGAAAGCCUUGUGUGGCUAGAGAUGGGCCCGCGGCCUAUCAGCUUGUUGGUGGGGUGAUGGCCUACCAAGGCGACGACGGGUAGCCGGCCUGAGAGGGCGACCGGCCACACUGGGACUGAGACACGGCCCAGACUCCUACGGGAGGCAGCAGUGGGGAAUCUUGCGCAAUGGGCGAAAGCCUGACGCAGCGACGCCGCGUGAGGGAUGACGGCCUGGUGUAACU
RNAcentral lists this ribosomal RNA (396 nucleotides) under uncultured bacterium. RNAcentral's name for it is "bacterial SSU rRNA". It matches the Rfam family "Bacterial small subunit ribosomal RNA", at positions 28 to 430 of the family's 1533-position model. The record is from RNAcentral.